Molecule: long non-coding RNA, 392 nt
Organism: Hyaena hyaena (striped hyena)
Lineage: Eukaryota; Metazoa; Chordata; Mammalia; Carnivora; Hyaenidae
Exons: 3
Source: RefSeq, a predicted model, not a curated record
CAAAAGGCUGCUUUCAGAAACUAGUUCAACUUAUCCAAGGGUCUCCAAUUCGCCGCCCGUAGUCAUUUCCUUCAUGGAAUCUCAUUCUUAAUAUUUUGCUACAUUUCCCUGAUCAGUGGGAAAGCACUCAGCUGGGCAUUCGUGACCCACGUGACCUGAUGCCACUGGGCUGAUAUGAAUCCAGGCCUGUCAUCACAUCUGUAGCCGCUGCCUGCCUUGAGUCAUUCAGCAUCUGAACCUUCUACUCAUAUUUUGGGAAGCCUUGUACGCUUUAAGAAGUCCACUUCCAGGUUCAGGGGCAAGAUGGCGGAGAAGUAAGGAGCUCCGUACUAGCACUCGCACCCAUACCUUACACGGAAAGAUCUGAAGCCAUUGGAAACCUUACAAAACCU